UUCCCAACUAUCCCUACAGCACCAAACAAAACCAAUAUCCAGGAAUCAAGCAAAACAAAACAACAGACUGGACCAGAACAAGUGAGUGAACAAGCAAAAUCAUCAUCACAAAGAAUAAAACACAAGCUGCAGCCACCAACUUCAGAAAAACCAAACUAAAGUUAAUCCAAGCUUUUUGGCGGCUACUUUUAACCUCGGUACAGGAAAGGUAAAGGCAAUUUCAUUUGUUUAUGCUAUAAUCUCAAAUGCACAUAUUUGAUGUAAUGUUCCUGCCUCACAGGAAAUACAAAGCUUGCUCACUUUUGUAGAUCUCAUGAAGUCAAUUAAUUGCCCCACCACUUUGUACAGUUUCUGCUUUACCACAAAGGCUAAUCAAUUCUUUUUGCCAGAACUCCAUUCAGAAUCCAACUUUGACAGCCAAACACGCAAUUGAACCACUAACAUCCAUUUUCCCUCUUUUGAUUAGCAAGCUUACUGUAUAACCUUGCACAAAAGUAAUGUAAUAUAUUUUAAACAUGACCACGUCUUCUUUAUUUUCACGCCAAUAAAAAAUUCGUCCGUACAACGUCAAUACAAAUUCGCAUGGCCAUUAAACCCCUAGUUAUUAUUUAAAUAAGAGACGAUCACAUGGCAUAAAACAAUAUUUACAUCCAAAAAAUGUACAAGCAGCAAAUAAGAAAACAAGAACAAAAAAGUGAAAUAAGAACUGUCACAAUGAAAUGACUACAAAGUACAAAUUCCAGGAAGAUCAAGUUUUUUUCAUUUUUCUUUUCAAAUUAUAUAAAAGUCUUGCUCUUAGCCAACAAACAACAUCCAUGUGUAUCGUUUUUAUUU
Long non-coding RNA from Solanum pennellii, 834 nucleotides. RefSeq lists it as uncharacterized. The transcript has 2 exons. Lineage: Eukaryota; Viridiplantae; Streptophyta; Magnoliopsida; Solanales; Solanaceae. The record is from RefSeq and is a predicted model, not a curated record.